Molecule: long non-coding RNA, 775 nt
Filed under: Prunus dulcis (almond)
Lineage: Eukaryota; Viridiplantae; Streptophyta; Magnoliopsida; Rosales; Rosaceae
Description: sRNA ncRNA
Rfam family: tRNA (bases 1-61)
Source: RNAcentral
CCAGCGGUUAGGAUAUCUGGCUUUCACCCAGGAGACCCGGGUUCGAUUCCCGGCAACGGAACAUUUUGCUUUUUAAGCACUCAGUUCAUCUGGGCCUCUUAUUGGGCCGCACCCAUCAGUUUGGUUAUGGAAAUUUAGACCAACCCAAUGUAAUGGGCUUGGCUUGCCCUCAUUCAAAUGUUCACUGUUUUAUUUUUGAAAUUUUCUUUCCAAAUGCAAGUAAAUUAAAUUAAAUUAAAUUAAAGCAAGAAAUGUUGUCUGUUUGAUUCAAAAGACGCAAGCUUGAGUUGGAGCUGUUGAUAGAGUCUCCUUGAUUGUUUUUAAAACAUUUACACAUCCACUCAAUGUUCCUGUGGUUUGCCAUUGCCAUGCAAAUUUAAAACUAUCAGCAAACAUCAAGUGGAAUUCACAACUUAGAACCCAGAUAUAUGAAAAGAAGAAAAAUACAACAUCAUCUCCUCAGUCAGCAACUCCACCACCUGAGACUUGUUCCCUCCCACCGGAAACCGGCACAGCGGGCAGGUGGUCCGGCAUGCGUCGAACCACUUAUCAACACACACCUUGUGAAACUCAUGCAGGCAAGGGAGACUUCUCACGUCCUCACCCUCCACCAAUCUUGACAAACACACACAACAAACCUCCUCCUCAACUAUCUUCCCACCCUCUGAUUCAAUCACCUCAUAGCAACAUGGGGCUGCCUUAAAACUUGUCUGCCCUAAAAGCGGACUGAAGAAAUUGUAGAUGAAGGAGGCUGCCCUAUUCAGAACCAUUUGGG